Non-coding RNA from Linepithema humile (Argentine ant), 237 nucleotides. The record is from RefSeq and is a predicted model, not a curated record. NCBI's taxonomy places the organism in Eukaryota, Metazoa, Arthropoda, Insecta, Hymenoptera, Formicidae.
AACCGCAAUUUCCAGUACUCUGGAUCCUCCUUUGACGUCGCCUUUAUUGACAGCAAGUUAAUGUCCGUAGCAUGCCCCAGCUCCAGACCGGCCAUCUUUUCAUCAACCCUUUUUCUGCUAUUCAACGAGAAGCGAGAGCCAUAUCUCUCUUCCUCAUUCUCUUCACUCAGAGAUGUAUAGGAAGAAUCACAAGAAAUAAUUUCCUCAGUAUCCGAGUAAUCAGCCGUACAAAACAUG